Zingiber officinale is the source of this 6285-nucleotide RNA transcript. It is a transcript of the gene named DNA glycosylase/AP lyase ROS1-like, with no coding region annotated. The transcript is spliced from 20 exons. The record is from RefSeq and is a predicted model, not a curated record. Lineage: Eukaryota; Viridiplantae; Streptophyta; Magnoliopsida; Zingiberales; Zingiberaceae.
UUCUUCUCAAUUCUCGACGGCCACAUGAAUCUCUCGCUCUUCUCCUGGCGACACGAGAAGGAGCCGUCGUCGAUCCUUGUUAAGCAGCGAGGAUGUUGCCACUUCGCAAGCGAAGGCAAAGAGGAGUUCGCUUGGCACCGUGGGCUUCGUCUUUUUCCUCAUCUUCUUCUCUUUCUCUUUGUGAGUCUGCUUUCUAUUCUCGCUCUCAGGGAGAGGGGAAAGCGAGGAGGAGCGUGCUUGCUUUUGGGAUGUUCGGCGACAGGGAAGAUCGGUGUUGAAAGACACAAACGAGAAAACCAAUUUUGAUUCUUAAUGCUGAUUCAUAUGAUGUAAACAAGGGGAGAAAGCUUCAGCAGCAACAGCAAUUAGACUCCCCGGAAGCUUGCCGCAGUGGCGGUUCCCAUCAUUCCUCAGAAGAAACCCCAUCCUUAAAGGGUUUUAGUGAUCAUCUGCGUGGACUACCGAGCACGAAUAUGGCAACCUCCCCUAGGCCAGAGGGGGCUCACUACGACAAUGUUGGACCACACAAAACGCUUUUGUCGAAUCCGACAGCAGGACUUCCUGAGGUACAUUAUGAUCAAGUCAUGGUUCUGUCUAAUGCAGCUGGAGCUGGAAUGCCGAGUGUAGCUCCGGUUCUUGGUAGUAAUCAUCAGCUUCUUUCUUUGGUGAAUGACAAGGCACUUACAGGUGGAAGUGUUUGUGUUAGCGGUGAUCAUCUUCAAGUGCCUGAGAAAGCUGCGUGCACGAACAUGAUUGGGGGAAUGCCUGUUGCAUUAGCCCCUAUGACUCCAGCGAAGGAUAAACAAGUUUAUGGCUUUAUACAGCAUGAAAUGAGUCAAGUAAAUCAAGAUGACCUUAUCCACAAAGGAAGCAUGAAGAAAGCUCACACAAGACAAGGCUGUGUGAAUGUCUUGCUUGAUUCUUCUCAGCUAGUAGCACCUAUAACUCCAGAUAAGAGUAAGGCGUUGGAGAAUAAUCAUGAAAUGAUCCAGUCGACUGGCAUUGGUCUGAAUAGGGAUGGGAAUGUACAGGAAGGAAGUCAAUCCUCUGGAGACAGUUUGUUAAUCGAAGGUGCUUCCUUAAUGAAACAAAGGAUUGAGAUACAUACUCCAUUUUCAUCUCAUUUUAGUCAACCAGUUGAGAGAAUAAACAUAGAAAGAAACCUAAGAACUAAAAAGACGAAAGCAGCAACAAGGAAAAAGCACAGGCCUAAGGUUCUUAAAGAUUUGCCUUUUGGCCCAAAAGAACCAGUAAUUCCAAAGCCAGUUACUCCCAAACAGGUAAAGAGAAAACAAAACCAGUCCAGGAGUAAUGUGCCUAAAAAAAACUCAAAUUGUUCAAAUGCACCACAAGAGAUGACUAGAGAUACAAGCAAAACUUCAAGAAUAGCAAGGAAAUCUUCCAACCAACAUAGUGAUAAUGGGACUAGACGAAGACUUGAUUUUUCUUCUGAAAACCAAUCUGUAGAUGAGCAUCCAAAGGAUGCAUUCAUUGGAUCUCCAAUUCAUUAUUCUAGAAGAGAAUUAUUGAAGAAAAAUUGGAAGCAUCUGGCUAGAAUGGCUGGCAAGGCAAAUAGUACAUAUAAAACCCACAUUGUUGAGGUAUCAAAACAGAAUAAUAUUCAGAGUCAUGUAAAGUUAGAUGGUGAUACAGAGAUGACUUUAGUGCAAGGGGAAAUGGAGAAUGAACAAGCUAAAAGUUGUUAUAAUCAUGUUGACAAUGCCCGAAGAGGUUGCAUAUAUCCAAUUUCAAGUAAUAAAGCCUUUAUGCAGACACAUGCCAGCAAUAUUCCACAAUUUCCACCGGAAUGUAAAAGGAGGAGAACCAUGCUAAUGCACAAUGGGAGAUUUGGUAAAAUGAAACGAAUCUCCAAAUCAUGUAGCUUUGUAGAUGAACAAAAUUUGGUAACAUUGGGUGAUUUGCGAACCUCAGAUUUCAUAUUAACAUCUGAUCUCAUCAAACGAGUGACAAAGAAGAGAUCAAAGGUGCCUAUUCGAGCCCCUAAGCCGGUUCUCACUGAGAUAGUUGCAGGCAACAAAGAACUUUUGCAAAACCUUGAAAGUAGACAUCAGGAAUGUGUCGAAGCCUUGUUCACAGAUACUCGUAUGAGAAUCAAAACAGGAAAACGAACAAAAAGGAAACAUGUUCAUCUCCAUUCAACAUCUGACCAAUGUACUGAUAUGUCGCAAGCAAUUGUGCCUUAUAUGUAUCCAACAUAUAAUUACAAUGCAGCUGAAGGACAAUCUGCUCUUGUAAGUUAUGAAAGCAACAUGAUUGUUCCAUAUGCAGGAUCUUAUGAAACCAAGAGAAAGCGCCUCAAAGCCAAGGUUGAUUUGGAUGAUGAGACCAAAAGGGUAUGGAAUCUUUUAAUGGGAAAAAUGAUCAGAUAUGAAGGAUCAGAUCCGGACAGAGAAGAGCAAUGGGAAGAACAAAGAACAGUAUUUGGUGCUCGUGCAGAUUCAUUCAUUGCACGAAUGCGUCUUAUCCAAGGAGAUAGACAAUUCUCUCCCUGGAAAGGUUCUGUAUUGGACUCUGUGAUAGGUGUUUUUCUAACCCAGAAUGUAUCAGACCACCUCUCAAGCUCUGCUUUUAUGGCUCUUGCUGCAAAGUUUCCACUUAAGCCAAGAAAAGAUAACUUAGAACAAAAUGCAAAUAGAAUGAGCAUCUUUACUGACGAACAUGAUAUCAUCACAUCUUCUAACAUGCUUUGUCAACACAAUCCAUUGGGUCAUAAUGUGUUUGAACCGGAUUCUUUCAUCUAUUACAUUGGAGAUGAGGAAGGAAACAAAAUGCACAGACCUGAUGAACCAGGGAGAGUGAAUACAGGUUAUCAUGACCUAGAAAAUUCUUGUACAGAUGUGAAUGCCCAGAGAAGAAGGCCUGAAGGACGUUCUUUCACAUCAGAUGACAAAACAGAGAUUUCUACAACAGUAAGAACGGGUUUGCAUUUUGAAGAUAAAAGGAUACUGAAUGAGGCAGUAUCCUCAUUGAACUUCUCUCCAUCUGACAGCAUUUCAAGCAGUCUUUUUCCCAGUACCACCUAUGCUGGAUUAAGUCUCCCUACACUCGUGAACACAGAUCCAAGAACUGUCUUGGAUAGUUAUUCCCUCAGUCAGGAGCCUAUAGAUAUAUCAGGAGUAAGCAUUACUCAUGGAGUUCACAACCUCAAUGAUGGGAUGAUGUCACUAAACAAGCCCAGUACAGUUGAUGAUCAGAACUCUGAAAAUUUAACUUCAUUUGGUAGAUUGAAGAUUGUGGAAGAUGCCUGCCAAGAAACCAGUUCCAAGGCUAGUUCUCUACUUAAUUGUUCACAACUUGAUUCCAUGGGUUUGCUGCCAGAUUUAACAUCUGAUUCCUCUGAUUCAGUCAAUAUGAAGAAUGUUGAUUCAAGACAAAGUAAAAGCAUUUCGAGAUUCAUUUUGUCUGAUCCUACCAAGUUCAAUAAAGACACAGUAACUGCUCAGAGAAACUGCAAUGAAUCUUCCAAAAACUCAACUGAACCUUUAAGCCAGCAAUCAUCAGCAACCAUGUCCAAUGUGACCAUUUCUCAUGAUACAAGAUCAUCCAUAGGCAAGCUACACUUUAGAUCACUCGCUUCCUUAUAUGGAGAGGAAGAUGCUAUGAUAUCAAAGCAAAGUGAAUCAAAGGACUGUGAGGUGGAAAAAAAUCAGUACGAAGUUGGGAUUUCAUCUCAAAAACAGCUCCAUCUAUUGCAGGGUGCAAUUUCAAAUUCAUGCAAUGAUUUAAAGAGAUCAUUUCAGCUGAUGGAUAUAGUUGAACCUAACUCAAAAGUUGAAGUUUGCAGUCCCAUUAAGGUUCCAUCAGAAGCAUCAAAAGGUGCACCAAAGGCAAAGAACACCAGGGAGGAGUCUGCAAAGAAAACUUCCUUUGACUGGGAUAGUUUGCGAAGGGAAGCAUGCCACAAUGGUUAUAACUCAGAGAGAAGUAAAGAUAGAAUGGACUCAUUAGAUUGGGAAGCUGUAAUGCGUUCAAAUAUUGGAGAAAUUUCAGAAACCAUAAAAGAAAGAGGAAUGAACAAUGUACUAGCAGGCAGGAUCAAGGAUUUUCUUAACCGUUUAGUUACAGAUCAUGGAAGCCUUGACCUUGAGUGGCUAAGGGAUGUUCCCCCAGAGAAAACAAAGGAUUACCUUCUCAGCAUACGAGGGUUAGGACUCAAGAGUGUUGAAUGUGUUAGGCUUUUGACACUUCAUCAACAUGCUUUUCCUGUUGACACAAAUGUUGGGCGGAUAUGUGUGAGACUUGGUUGGGUGCCUCUGAAACCCCUACCAGAAUCCCUCCAACUGCAUCUUUUAGAGAGCUAUCCAGUAUUGGAGACUAUUCAAAAGUAUCUUUGGCCUCGAUUAUGCAAGCUGGAUCAACGGACAUUGUAUGAGCUGCAUUAUCAAAUGAUAACUUUCGGAAAGGUUUUUUGCACAAAAGGCAAACCAAAUUGUAAUGCAUGUCCAAUGAGAGGAGAGUGCAGGCACUUUGCUAGUGCAUGGACUAGUUCAAGACUACUUCAAGGACCAGAGGAGAGAGAACUAGUGAAAUCAACAAUGAGUGUUGCAUUGGAAAACCAUGAUAUUAAACUAUUAAAUGCAGUGUCAUUAUGCCAAAAUGAGGAGAAUUACCUUUUGCAAGGAACUAGACACAAUGAUGAUCCUAUUAUUGAAGAGCCACCAUCACCUGAACUGCAAUGCCAAGUAGCUUUUGAAAGUGAGAUAGAAGAAACUUAUUAUGAAGAUCCUUGUGAAAUUCCUACCAUAAAUUUGAACUUGGGAGAGUUCACACAGAACUUGCAGAACUAUAUACAAGAAAAUGUUGAGCUUUCAGAUGGUGAAAUUGAAAAAGCUAUAGUUGCUAUCACUAGUGAAUCUGCUUCAAUUCCUAUGCCCAAGCUUAAGAAUGUGAAACGUCUACGGACGGAGCAUUUAGUUUACGAGCUUCCAGAUGGGCACCCUCUCCUUGAAGGGUUAGAGAAAAGAGAAAUUGAUGAUCCGUGUCCAUACCUCCUGAGCAUCUGGGCCCCAGGUGAAACCGUACACUCUAUUGAACCACCACAAACAUGCUGCAAUCAUCAAGAAACAGGAAGAAUAUGCCAAGAUAUGACAUGCUUUUCUUGCAGUUGCAGACGGGAGGAACAAUCUCAAACAAUCAGAGGAACACUUCUGAUUCCCUGUCGAACUGCAAAUAGAGGAAGCUUUCCGCUGAAUGGCACUUAUUUCCAAGUUAAUGAGGUAUUUGCAGACCAUGAGUCAAGCCACAAUCCAUUAAUUAUUCCCAGGAGGUUGAUAUGGAACCUUCGCAGGAGGAUUGUUUAUUUUGGCACCAGCAUACCAACAUUAUUCAGAGGUCUAUCAAUGGAGGAGAUACAACUCUGUUUUUCAAGAGGAUUUGUUUGCUUAAGAGGGUUUGACCAAAAAGUAAGAGCACCCAGGCCCCUUAGUCCAAGACUGCACCUAGCAGCAAGCCAUGCACAAAAAGAUAAAAAGUCAACACACAAGAAUGAGAAGAAUGCUGCAACAGGGGCAGCUGAUAAAAUCUAGCCACAGUUCCACCGCUUAGAAGAAUGGCCUGGUAGACAAAUGCUGUAUACAUUGGCACUGAUGUUGUGUCGCUCGCCUUUAAGACAGCUAGCUGGGUGCAAUUUGUUCCAGAUCAGGCUCUGAGCUUUUCGCCGACUUUGAUGAUCGAGUGAUGACUGCUUGCUGGUUCACCUGUGUGCUCUGUUGUCGUUGACAAGUUCGGGUUGUGCUGGAGUCUCCUUCCCACUGGUGCCAUAGCUGCAAAUGUGGUAGGUAGCGCACCACCAUUUCUAAGCAUUUCUAUCUAGUUAGAGAUUACGACAGUUACUCUGUCUCCUUGUUUUCAAGCUCCAAAAGGAUUAGAAAAAGUAGAUUAAAUUUUUACAUUUAUUCAAGAACAAUAGUUGGACUUAGCUAAGUCACACCCAUAGAUCGUAAAAAAUGAUCUAUGGAUCUGGUUCGUUGAUAUGAUGAGAGUGUCACUGAUAAUUAGCUCGAUAGAGGCUUAUCAAUGUGCUUGAAGACACAAGGAAGCCUUAUGUUUUGAGCUUGAGCACAAGCUAGUCAUGUCGAGAAACUCAAAAAAUUUGAGUUUCGGUUCUAGAGGGUUCGUGUUUGCUAAUUUUGUCGCCUAAACUAAGGUAUUUAAAGAUCAAGGGUCUAAGAGGACAAUGACCUAAAAUAGAGGCAUUUAGACUUAUGUUUGCGACUUUGACAUGUUUGGUAGCCAUAAACUUGACUUGAAGUUUUUUUUUAUUUA